GACGAACGCUGGCGGCGUGCUUAACACAUGCAAGUCGAACGGAAAGGCCCUGCUUGCAGGGUACUCGAGUGGCGAACGGGUGAGUAACACGUGGGUGAUCUGCCCUGCACUUCGGGAUAAGCUUGGGAAACUGGGUCUAAUACCGGAUAGGACCGCACUUUAGUGUGGGUGGUGGAAAGUUUUUUCGGUGUAGGAUGAGCUCGCGGCCUAUCAGCUUGUUGGUGGGGUAAUGGCCUACCAAGGCGGCGACGGGUAGCCGGCCUGGGAGGGUGUACGGCCACAUUGGGACUGAGAUACGGCCCAGACUCCUACGGGAGGCAGCAGUGGGGAAUAUUGCACAAUGGGGGCAAGCCUGAUGCAGCGACGCCGCGUGGGGGAUGAAGGCCUUCGGGUUGUAAACUCCUUUCGCUAGGGACGAAGCUUUUUGUGACGGUACUUAGAUAAGAAGCACCGGCUAACUACGUG
This 465-nucleotide ribosomal RNA is filed under the name uncultured bacterium. Its description in RNAcentral is "partial 16S ribosomal RNA". It matches the Rfam family "Bacterial small subunit ribosomal RNA", at positions 28 to 507 of the family's 1533-position model. The record is from RNAcentral.